Molecule: ribosomal RNA, 468 nt
Filed under: uncultured bacterium
Lineage: Bacteria
Description: partial 16S ribosomal RNA
Rfam family: Bacterial small subunit ribosomal RNA
Source: RNAcentral
GACGAACGCUGGCGGCGUGCUUAACACAUGCAAGUCGAACGGAAAGGCCCUGCUUUUGUGGGGUGCUCGAGUGGCGAACGGGUGAGUAACACGUGAGUAACCUGCCCUUGACUUUGGGAUAACUUCAGGAAACUGGGGCUAAUACCCGAUAGGAGCUCCUGCUGCAUGGGGGGGGUUGGAAAGUUUCGGCGGUGGGGGAUGGACUCGCGGCUUAUCAGCUUGUUGGUGGGGUAGUGGCUUACCAAGGCUUUGACGGGUAGCCGGCCUGAGAGGGUGACCGGCCACAUUGGGCCUGAGAUAGGGCCCAGACUGCUACGGGAGGCAGCAGUGGGGAAUAUUGCACAAUGGGGGGACGCCUGAUGCAGCAACGCCGCGUGCGGGAUGACGGCCUUCGGGUUGUAAACCGCUUUCGCCUGUGCCGAAGCGUGAGUGACGGUAAUGGGUAAAGAAGCACCGGCUAACUACGUG